Molecule: ribosomal RNA, 253 nt
Filed under: uncultured bacterium
Lineage: Bacteria
Description: partial 16S ribosomal RNA
Rfam family: Bacterial small subunit ribosomal RNA
Source: RNAcentral
UACGAAGGGGGCUAGCGUUGCUCGGAAUUACUGGGCGUAAAGGGCGCGUAGGCGGACAGUUUAGUCAGAGGUGAAAGCCCAGGGCUCAACCUUGGAAUUGCCUUUGAUACUGGCUGUCUUGAGUUCGGGAGAGGUGAGUGGAAUGCCGAGUGUAGAGGUGAAAUUCGUAGGUAUUCGGCGGAACACCAGUGGCGAAGGCGACUCACUGGCCCGAUACUGACGCUGAGGCGCGAAAGCGUGGGGAGCAAACAGG